UACGAAGGGUGCAAGCGUUACUCGGAAUUACUGGGCGUAAAGCGUGCGUAGGUGGUUCGUUAAGUCUGCCGUGAAAGCCCCGGGCUCAACCUGGGAAUUGCGGUGGAUACUGGCGGGCUAGAGUGCGGUAGAGGAGAGUGGAAUUCCCGGUGUAGCAGUGAAAUGCGUAGAGAUCGGGAGGAACAUCAGUUGCGAAGGCGGCUCUCUGGACCAGCACUGACACUGAGGCACGAAAGCGUGGGGAG
This 245-nucleotide ribosomal RNA is filed under the name uncultured Arenimonas sp. RNAcentral describes it as "partial 16S ribosomal RNA". It matches the Rfam family "Bacterial small subunit ribosomal RNA", at positions 524 to 768 of the family's 1533-position model. Lineage: Bacteria; Pseudomonadati; Pseudomonadota; Gammaproteobacteria; Lysobacterales; Lysobacteraceae. The record is from RNAcentral.